RNAcentral lists this non-coding RNA (21 nucleotides) under Caenorhabditis elegans. The record is from RNAcentral. Lineage: Eukaryota; Metazoa; Nematoda; Chromadorea; Rhabditida; Rhabditidae.
UAAGCAUUUUUCAAGGUUUUA